AUGAACGCUGGCGGCGUGCCUAAUACAUGCAAGUCGAGCGAACAGACGAGGAGCUUGCUCCUCUGACGUUAGCGGCGGACGGGUGAGUAACACGUGGAUAACCUACCUAUAAAACUGGGAUAACUUCGGGAAACCGGAGCUAAUACCGGAUAAUAUAUUGAACCGCAUGGUUCAAUAGUGAAAGACGGUUUUGCUGUCACUUAUAGAUGGAUCCGCGCCGCAUUAGCUAGUUGGUAAGGUAACGGCUUACCAAGGCAACGAUGCGUAGCCGACCUGAGAGGGUGAUCGGCCACACUGGAACUGAGACACGGUCCAGACUCCUACGGGAGGCAGCAGUAGGGAAUCUUCCGCAAUGGGCGAAAGCUUGACGGAGCAACGCCGCGUGAGUGAUGAAGGUCUUCGGAUCGUAAAACUCUGUUAUUAGGGAAGAACAAAUGUGUAAGUAACUAUGCACGUCUUGACGGUACCUAAUCAGAAAGCCACGGCUAACUACGUG
RNAcentral lists this ribosomal RNA (496 nucleotides) under uncultured bacterium. Its description in RNAcentral is "partial 16S ribosomal RNA". It matches the Rfam family "Bacterial small subunit ribosomal RNA", at positions 29 to 507 of the family's 1533-position model. The record is from RNAcentral.